GAACUCUGAGACAGGUGCUGCAUGGCUGUCGUCAGCUCGUGUUGUGAAAUGUUGGGUUAAGUCCCGCAACGAGCGCAACCCUUAUCCUUUGUUGCCAGCGAUUCGGUCGGGAACUCAAAAGAGACUGCCGGUGAUAAACCGGAGGAAGGUGGGGAUGACGUCAAGUCAUCAUGGCCCUUACGAGUAGGGCUACACACGUGCUACAAUGGCGUAUACAAAGAGAAGCGACCUCGCGAGAGCAAGCGGAACUCAUAAAGUACGUCGUAGUCCGGAUUGGAGUCUGCAACUCGACUCCAUGAAGUCGGAAUCGCUAGUAAUCGUAGAUCAGAAUGCUACGGUGAAUACGUUCCCGGGCCUUGUACACACCGCCCGUCACACCAUGGGAGUGGGUUGCAAAAGAAGUAGGUAGCUUAACCUUCGGGAGGGCGCUUACCACUUUGUGAUUCAUGACUGGGGUGAAGUCGUAACAAGGUAACCGUAGGGGAACCUGCGGUUGGAUCACCUCCUUA
Molecule: ribosomal RNA, 509 nt
Filed under: Providencia rettgeri
Lineage: Bacteria; Pseudomonadati; Pseudomonadota; Gammaproteobacteria; Enterobacterales; Morganellaceae
Description: bacterial SSU rRNA
Rfam family: Bacterial small subunit ribosomal RNA
Source: RNAcentral